ACUCCUACGGGAGGCAGCAGUGGGGAAUAUUGCACAAUGGGGGAAACCCUGAUGCAGCCAUCGCCGCGUGUGUAGAAGGCAAUGGGCCUUUCGGGUUGAUGAAAGCACUUUUCAGUAGGGAGGAAGGUAGUGUAGUUAACACCUGCACUAUUUGACGUUACCUACAGAAGAAGCACCGGCUAACUCCGUGCCAGCAGCCGCGGUAAUACGGAGGGUGCGAGCGUUAAUCGGAAUUACUGGGCGUAAAGCGCAUGCAGGCGGCCUGUUAAGUCAGAUGUGAAAGCCCGGGGCUUAACCUCGGAAUUGCAUUUGAAACUGGCAGGCUAGAGUCUUGUAGAGGGGGGUAGAAUUUCAGGUGUAGCGGUGAAAUGCGUAGAGAUCUGAAGGAAUACCAGUGGCGAAGGCGGCCCCCUGGACAAAGACUGACGCUCAGAUGCGAAAGCGUGGGGAGCAAACAGGAUUAGAUACCCUGGUAGGAUAG
This 481-nucleotide ribosomal RNA is filed under the name uncultured bacterium. Its description in RNAcentral is "bacterial SSU rRNA". It matches the Rfam family "Bacterial small subunit ribosomal RNA", at positions 335 to 798 of the family's 1533-position model. The record is from RNAcentral.